RNAcentral lists this ribosomal RNA (251 nucleotides) under uncultured bacterium. Its description in RNAcentral is "partial 16S ribosomal RNA". It matches the Rfam family "Bacterial small subunit ribosomal RNA", at positions 525 to 775 of the family's 1533-position model. The record is from RNAcentral.
ACGUAGGGGGCAAGCGUUAUUCGGAUUUACUGGGUGUAAAGGGAGCGUAGACGGCGACGCAAGUCUGAAGUGAAAUACCCGGGCUCAACCUGGGAACUGCUUUGGAAACUGUGUUGCUAGAGUGCUGGAGAGGUAAGCGGAAUUCCUAGUGUAGCGGUGAAAUGCGUAGAUAUUAGGAAGAACACCAGUGGCGAAGGCGGCUUACUGGACAGUAACUGACGUUGAGGCUCGAAAGCGUGGGGAGCAAACAG